ACUUUUACAGGAUGGGAGUGAUCCAUUGGUCUUAGGAACCAAAAAACUGGUGCAACUCCAGAUAAAAGUA
Molecule: transfer RNA, 70 nt
Filed under: Megatherium americanum
Lineage: Eukaryota; Metazoa; Chordata; Mammalia; Pilosa; Megatheriidae
Description: tRNA-Leu
Source: RNAcentral